This 236-nucleotide unclassified non-coding RNA is filed under the name Hevea brasiliensis (rubber tree). The record is from RNAcentral. Lineage: Eukaryota; Viridiplantae; Streptophyta; Magnoliopsida; Malpighiales; Euphorbiaceae.
GGGGCACCACCCAUGUGGGUCACCUUGUGCUGGGCAAUACUUUCAAAUAUUCCUUUUGCAGAGACGCUCCUUAGGCAGAUAUUUUUGCCUCCCUGAGCAGCUACAGCCCAGGUGAGGCACCACCCAUUGCAGUGAAACAUAGGAACACACCAUAGAUAUACAGGCAUUGAGCUCAUUUCAUUUAGAAGAAUUGCCGCAAGGGAAUUUAGAUAGGCACCUCUAUGGCUAUAAAUCAC